RNAcentral lists this long non-coding RNA (502 nucleotides) under Zalophus californianus (California sea lion). RNAcentral describes it as "lncRNA (ENSZCAG00015020614.1)". The record is from RNAcentral. Lineage: Eukaryota; Metazoa; Chordata; Mammalia; Carnivora; Otariidae.
CUUCGUCUCCCGCAGGCGCACCCACCAGCCCGCCCAUCGCCCGGAGGAGCCCCGAGUCGGGGGACCGAGGUGUGUCUGACCAUUACCUGGUCUCCUGACUGGCCUCUCUAUCCCUAGGACUGGUUCCCUGCAGUACAGCCUGCAUAAGGCCAUCUCAUCUCGGAUAAAUCCUUUGAGUGUGCCAUCUGUCGCUUGCCAGGACCCUGCCUCAUACAAGCAGGACAAGGAGCCACCCUAGGACUGGGGCCAGGAUAGCGCCAUUUCCAUGGAGCCUGGGAUUCUCCUCCUCAUCAGCGGUCUAAGGAGGCUACACUCUUCACACAGAUGUGGUGGUAAGAAAAAUUAUACAAAAUCUGGAAAUAAGACAAAAGGGUGUCCUUCCCAUGUCAUAUUGGAGCCUUGUCUAACAGGUCUGCCUAAAGAUUAUUUAAUUCUUGGGGUGCCUGGGUGGCUCAGUCCUUAAGUGUCUGCCUUCGGCUCAGGUCAUGAUCCUGGGGUCCUG